GUGCUGUCAUACAGAGAAUGCUCUUUCCAUCUUAGAUGCUGUCCUUGUGCAGUGACAAGAGAUCGCCUGGCUUCAAACUGCCAGCUCAAGUUUGGCAUCAGUUCAACCACCUGGGCUACAGAAGGUGGUCCUUGGAGCUCAGUUCCAAAGUCAGAAAAAAGCAGAUUCUGGUACCAACACCAGUUUACCAGGCCUUGCAGGAUCUGAGAAGAAACUCCUGCCAGGGGAUGUAGUACCACACAGAAGCUGAGGACAGGAACAGGGUAUCUGUGAGUCCAGUGACCAGUCUCUUGUGCAAAACAUAUUUUGGAUGAUGCUGCUGCACUCUUUCUGGAACUGUUACUCAAUGUAUUUAUUGUAUUUGCAGAACAUUUUACAAACAAGUGCCUUGUUCUGCCGCAGCUGCUGGCUCCAUCCUGUGAUCCAAGAGGAGUACAGGGCUGCACUUGCCAUUUGUAAAGGCCAAGCUGAUGGAAAACAUCCAGCUGCGGUUCAGAACACUGCGAGGAGCGCUGCAGCUCCGCCGGCAGCACCUGGUAGGCUUAGGAAGGACGCGGAGCCGGGCGCGCACACGGAGCUCGCUUCACGCCUGGUUAUUGAGUGCCACCCAGUGGGGGCUGCCUUAUCCGGGAACGGAGCUGGGAAUACACAGAUGCCUACAGGGUCAAAGCACACUGGGCUGGUAGAGCUUUUUGUUAUUGUUGCUUUGGUUUGGGUUUUUUGUUGUUGUUUUUGGAGGGGGGUUGCUAGUUAAAAAAAAAACAACUGAGGACUACUUAUUUUCAUAUGAAAUAUAUCAAAUAGAGUGUCUGCUAGCUGUUACUGUGCAAAGAUUCUGUUUGCAUUCAUCUGUGAUUUUGUCCAGUGAUUUCUAUUUUUGGGUUCAUUAUGGCCUUGUAAGCAGCCUUUUUAAACUAUGGGUAAUAAAGUAUUUCCACUUUAACCA
RNAcentral lists this long non-coding RNA (946 nucleotides) under Parus major (Great Tit). RNAcentral's name for it is "lncRNA (ENSPMJG00000014628.1)". Lineage: Eukaryota; Metazoa; Chordata; Aves; Passeriformes; Paridae. The record is from RNAcentral.